CCUACGGGGGGCAGCAGUGGGGAAUUUUGGACAAUGGGCGCAAGCCUGAUCCAGCAAUGCCGCGUGCAGGAAGAAGGCCUUCGGGUUGUAAACUGCUUUUGUCAGGGAAGAAAUCCUCUGGGUUAAUACCUCGGGGGGAUGACGGUACCUGAAGAAUAAGCACCGGCUAACUACGUGCCAGCAGCCGCGGUAAUACGUAGGGUGCGAGCGUUAAUCGGAAUUACUGGGCGUAAAGCGUGCGCAGGCGGCUUUGCAAGACAGAUGUGAAAUCCCCGGGCUCAACCUGGGAACUGCAUUUGUGACUGCAAGGCUAGAGUACGGUAGAGGGGGAUGGAAUUCCGCGUGUAGCAGUGAAAUGCGUAGAUAUGCGGAGGAACACCAAUGGCGAAGGCAAUCCCCUGGACCUGUACUGACGCUCAUGCACGAAAGCGUGGGGAGCAAACAGGAUUAGAUACCCCAGUAGUC
Molecule: ribosomal RNA, 465 nt
Filed under: uncultured bacterium
Lineage: Bacteria
Description: bacterial SSU rRNA
Rfam family: Bacterial small subunit ribosomal RNA
Source: RNAcentral